Molecule: ribosomal RNA, 496 nt
Filed under: uncultured bacterium
Lineage: Bacteria
Description: bacterial SSU rRNA
Rfam family: Bacterial small subunit ribosomal RNA
Source: RNAcentral
GAUUAACGCUGGCGGCAUGCCUAAUACAUGCAAGUCGAACGGAAGCAGCAAUGCUUUAGUGGCGAACGGGUGAGUAACACGUAGGGAACCUACCUAUACGACGAGGAUAACUACUGGAAACGGUAGCUAAAACUGGAUAGGAUCAAUUGAGGCAUUUUGAUUGAUUUAAAGAUCCUUCGGGAUUACGUAGAGAUGGCCCUGCGGCGCAUUAGCUAGUUGGUGAGGUAACGGCCCACCAAGGCGACGAUGCGUAGCUGAGCUGAGAGGCUAAACAGCCACACUGGGACUGAGACACGGCCCAGACUCCUACGGGAGGCAGCAGUAGGGAAUUUUCGGCAAUGGGGGAAACCCUGACCGAGCAAUGCCGCGUGAACGAUGAAGGUCUUCGGAUUGUAAAGUUCUGUGAUUGGGGAAGAAUGGUAUUCUUAGGGAAUGAGGAGUACAUGACGGUACCCGAUUAGAAAGCCCCGGCUAACUAUGUGCCAGCAGCCGCGGU